CUUUUACGGAGAGUUUGAUCCUGGCUCAGGACGAACGCUGGUGGCGUGCUUAACACAUGCAAGUCGAACGGUGAAGCCCAGCUUGCUGGGUGGAUCAGUGGCGAACGGG
Molecule: ribosomal RNA, 109 nt
Filed under: Krasilnikoviella flava
Lineage: Bacteria; Bacillati; Actinomycetota; Actinomycetes; Micrococcales; Promicromonosporaceae
Description: partial 16S rRNA. Bacterial SSU
Rfam family: Bacterial small subunit ribosomal RNA
Source: RNAcentral